RNAcentral lists this transfer RNA (65 nucleotides) under Dipodomys ordii (Ord's kangaroo rat). It matches the Rfam family "tRNA". Rfam says of the family: Transfer RNA (tRNA) molecules are approximately 80 nucleotides in length. Their secondary structure includes four short double-helical elements and three loops (D, anti-codon, and T loops). The record is from Rfam by way of RNAcentral. Lineage: Eukaryota; Metazoa; Chordata; Mammalia; Rodentia; Heteromyidae.
GGUGGCUCAGUGGUAGAGCACUUGCCUUGCAUGCAUGAGUCCCUGGGUUCAGUUCCUCAGUACCA